ACGGGUGGCUGCAGUAGGGAAUCUUCCGCAAUGGACGAAAGUCUGACGGAGCAACGCCGCGUGAGUGAUGAGGGCCCUCGGGUCGUAAAGCUCUGUUGCCAAGGAAGAACAGCCGAGAGAGUAACUGCUCUCGGAAUGACGGUACUUGAGAAGAAAGCCCCGGCUAACUACGUGCCAGCAGCCGCGGUAAUACGUAGGGGGCAAGCGUUGUCCGGAAUUAUUGGGCGUAAAGCGCGCGCAGGCGGUAAUGUAAGUUGGGUGUUUAAGGCGAGGGCUCAACCCUCGUCCGCACCCAAAACUGCAUCACUUGAGUGCAGCAGAGGAAAGUGGAAUUCCACGUGUAGCGGUGAAAUGCGUAGAGAUGUGGAGGAACACCAGUGGCGAAGGCGACUUUCUGGGCUGUAACUGACGCUGAGGCGCGAAAGCGUGGGGAGCAAACAGGAUUAGAUACCCGAGUAGUCAUCUUUCUAGA
RNAcentral lists this ribosomal RNA (472 nucleotides) under uncultured Bacillota bacterium. RNAcentral's name for it is "bacterial SSU rRNA". It matches the Rfam family "Bacterial small subunit ribosomal RNA", at positions 341 to 806 of the family's 1533-position model. The record is from RNAcentral. Lineage: Bacteria; Bacillati; Bacillota.